UGAGCAAUCUGCCCUUCACAUCGGAAUAACCAUUGGAAACGAUGGCUAAUACCGAAUAUGACUUCGGAUCGCAUGAUCUGAAGUGGAAAGCUCCGGCGGUGAAGGAUGAGCUCGCGGCCUAUCAGCUUGUUGGUGAGGUAAUAGCUCACCAAGGCGACGACGGGUAGCCGGCCUGAGAGGGUGACCGGCCACACUGGGACUGAGACACGGCCCAGAUCCGUAACGGG
RNAcentral lists this ribosomal RNA (227 nucleotides) under uncultured bacterium. RNAcentral's name for it is "partial 16S ribosomal RNA". It matches the Rfam family "Bacterial small subunit ribosomal RNA", at positions 118 to 347 of the family's 1533-position model. The record is from RNAcentral.